GUGUGAAUCACAGGGCGCUUCUCCCUUGGCACGGUGGCAUGUAUGCACGGAUGAUGGUGGUAGCCUGGUGAGUGUGUGGUGCAGCUAGCAAAUAUCUAGCCCUACGUGCCAAAGGAGAAUUGCCCUGCCAUUUGCCU
Molecule: microRNA precursor, 137 nt
Filed under: Triticum aestivum (bread wheat)
Lineage: Eukaryota; Viridiplantae; Streptophyta; Magnoliopsida; Poales; Poaceae
Also listed under: 1 other name
Description: mir-399 microRNA precursor family
Rfam family: mir-399 microRNA precursor family
About the family: mir-399 was identified in both Arabidopsis thaliana and Oryza sativa computationally and was later experimentally verified. mir-399 is thought to target mRNAs coding for a phosphatase transporter.
Source: Rfam by way of RNAcentral